AACCACAAUGUCACACUCAACGUUCCAACGUCUCGAGGCGGACCUUCACGGAGUUCUGGAAAAGGCAAGGGAGAUGAUCUGAAACCAGUGAUUACAUGGGCUGAAGGUCAAGUCAGUAAUAUUCUUGUACAGGGUGCUAAAGGAAACAUUACUCCGGACGAGGCCCUAGCAAAACUGAAGAGUAUUGUUGGUGUGCACAGUUCGGCGACAGACUCCUUUAAGAAGCUGGUUCUGGAAGGACUGGAAAGGUUGACAAGCUCCAUGACGAAGGACGACCAGAACCUUUGUCUGGACCCUUCAGGACCCACCUGAGUCUCUCGCUCGUAACAUUACUGAGCAUAUGAUAAACUUCAUGAAGUUCUUCGAGCAGUAGCGAAUCAAACAGUUAUGUAUGAUGUUGAUAUCUUAGCACACAAUAAAUCCAUGUUAUGAG
This 433-nucleotide long non-coding RNA is filed under the name Haliotis rubra (blacklip abalone). RNAcentral's name for it is "uncharacterized LOC124280247, transcript variant X1". Lineage: Eukaryota; Metazoa; Mollusca; Gastropoda; Lepetellida; Haliotidae. The record is from RNAcentral.